CUUAGCGCCUGAAAUUAGGCCACUAAACUGCGCCAACGCGCUGGAAACCUCUGUCAUAUGCGUAAAUUUAAUUAUUUGCAUGUUGUACCAUUUAUCACACAGUCCCAUUAAUUGUGAAAUUAUUUUAAGCAAGUUUGUUUGUAAAUUAAAUAUUGCUCAUUCAAGUUUUUGCGUUACGAAACGCUGCUGUAUCAAAAAAAGUAUUAUUUUCGAAUUUGUAAGUGCAUAAUAAAUACGUAUAUGUAUACUUGUAUAAUAUUUGUCAUUGUUGUAAGGCAUUGCACUAAUUUUUAAAAUUUAUUCUAUGUAUAAAUAUUUACUUUAAACCAUAAAAUAUAUGUAUUUGAGCAGCUGGCCGCCUGAAGGUAUGCUACUUAGUGUUAAUGUGCUAAUUAUGAAAUAUGUUUGAAACAAAAGCAUGCCUAAAGGUAUGCUACCAGAGCCUAAAGGUAUGCUACGAAGAUUUGUGCUAAUUACGAAAUAUAUUUGUAACAAAAGCGUGCUUUGUUGUAAUUUAGAAAAUCACUCACAUACUUUUACUCAAUUAAUUUCUCUUAAGCAGCCAGCUGUGCCUUACUAACAUCAGCUUAAAUACAUAAAUAAACAUACAAACGAUUAGUUAUAUUUUUUAGUUGUACUUAGUUUCAUUACAAAAUAUUUUCGUUAAAAUUUUAAUGUGCUCCAAAAUCAAUACCUUAAUAGCUAAUAUAGUUUAUUGAUAACAUAAAACAGUGAAACUGUAAUUCAUGCUGUUACAUGUAAUUUACAUAGCUUUUAAGUCCAUAUAAAUACCUGUAUACCGUACUUAAGCAAUACCGUAUUCAUUAAUGGAUAAGACUACAAUAUCGUAUACUUUGUCUUGCAUAUAUCGUCCGUUAUUUCAACAUAUCAUAAUUAUAAGUACAUAUAUUUGAAUAUUUCUGUUCUGUAAUAGAAUAUAAUUUCUUCAUUUCCUGUAUGUAUUUAACUGUAAACUCUAAUUGCGUUAUGAAUCGAAAUUUGUUGGUUGAAAUACAAGUCAAAUAUAUUAUUGUUAAACUACAUA
Long non-coding RNA from Bactrocera dorsalis (oriental fruit fly), 1045 nucleotides. RefSeq lists it as uncharacterized. The transcript is spliced from 2 exons. The record is from RefSeq and is a predicted model, not a curated record. Lineage: Eukaryota; Metazoa; Arthropoda; Insecta; Diptera; Tephritidae.